RNAcentral lists this ribosomal RNA (392 nucleotides) under uncultured eukaryote. RNAcentral describes it as "partial 18S ribosomal RNA". It matches the Rfam family "Eukaryotic small subunit ribosomal RNA", at positions 592 to 976 of the family's 1831-position model. The record is from RNAcentral.
CAAUAGCGUAUACUAAAGUUGUUGCGAUUAAAAAGCUCGUAGUUGGAUCUCAGGCAUGGGCGCACGGUCCGCCUCGCGGCGGUCACUGUGUGUUUUGUUUCCCAUCCUACGAUUCCCGGUUAUCAGCCCAUGGUGCUCUUCACUGAGCGUUUUGGGUGGCCGGAACGUUUACUUUGAAGAAAUUAGAGUGUUCAAAGCAGGCACGUUGCCUGAAUAAUGGUGCAUGGAAUAAUGGAAUAGGACCUCGGUUCUAUUUUGCUGGUUUUCGGAACACGAGGUAAUGAUUAAGAGGGACAGACGGGGGCAUCCGUAUUGCGGUGUUAGAGGUGAAAUUCUUGGAUCAUCGCAAGACGAACAACUGCGAAAGCAUUUGCCAAGCAUGUUUUCAUUAG